RNAcentral lists this ribosomal RNA (468 nucleotides) under uncultured bacterium. Its description in RNAcentral is "partial 16S ribosomal RNA". It matches the Rfam family "Bacterial small subunit ribosomal RNA", at positions 28 to 523 of the family's 1533-position model. The record is from RNAcentral.
GAUGAACGCUGGCGGCGUGCCUAACACAUGCAAGUCAAGCGAUUCUCUUCGGAGAAGAGCGGCGGACGGGUGAGUAACGCGUGGGUAACCUGCCCUGUACACACGGAUAACAUACCGAAAGGUAUGCUAAUACGGGAUAACAUAAGAAAUUCGCAUGUUUUUCUUAUCAAAGCUCCGGCGGUACAGGAUGGACCCGCGUCUGAUUAGCUAGUUGGUAAGGUAACGGCUUACCAAGGCGACGAUCAGUAGCCGACCUGAGAGGGUGAUCGGCCACAUUGGAACUGCGACACGGUCCAAACUCCUACGGGAGGCAGCAGUGGGGAAUAUUGCACAAUGGGCGAAAGCCUGAUGCAGCAACGCCGCGUGAGCGAUGAAGGCCUUCGGGUCGUAAAGCUCUGUCCUCAAGGAAGAUAAUGACGGUACUUGAGGAGGAAGCCCCGGCUAACUACGUGCCAGCCGCCGCGGUAA